Diabrotica virgifera virgifera (western corn rootworm) is the source of this 1939-nucleotide long non-coding RNA. RefSeq lists it as uncharacterized. The transcript is spliced from 3 exons. The record is from RefSeq and is a predicted model, not a curated record. NCBI's taxonomy places the organism in Eukaryota, Metazoa, Arthropoda, Insecta, Coleoptera, Chrysomelidae.
GGCAACCAAGUGACGUCAACAACGUCGAGGAAACGUCAGUAUUUGGUGGAAUAUAUACACGUAGUUGAACAUUACGUCAUAUCGACGUCUUUUGUAGGUGAUUUUAAAUACGUAAGAUUAAUGACGUUAAAAUACGUUUAAAAGACGUUUUCAUUUCAGCCAGCCUAAGUCUGACGUCACGAAAUUGGGAGGAGCUUGGAGCUUAAAAGUUACAAAACUAGGGUUAUGUUUGUAUCGUCGUUUGUCGUUUCAUUUCAUUGUUUGUUUGUCCUAGUAUUUUGCCUUUUUUGGAUUCAUUUGGAUUUUGUUGGCUGUUUUGUGUGUAUUUUUUAAAACUUCUGUUUGUCAUUUGUAAAUUUUAUAAAUUUACCACAAUGCAAAGUGAUUAUUUAAGGAAAUUAUUAAUGGAAACUCCGCAGAUGUUUUAGAAAGAUAUUCAUUGAAGCUGAAAAUAAUUGGAGAUUUAGAUCCAUAUACAAUUCAGUCAUCAGAAUUGGAUUUUACAGUGCAUUCCAUCAAUUACUGUUAUAAUGCUAUUAUAGAUAGACUGGUAGAGUCUCACAGUUACUGCUUUAAGCAGCAGAUGAAAGCAUACAAAAGCCUUCAGGCACAUAAAAGCCUUCACAACUGGAUUUGUUUUGAAACAUUGAUGUUUUGAUGAUUUCUAUAUUAUUGUUGGAAAGGUGAAAAUUCCCAAAAAGCUAAUGCUAAACCGCUAGAUGCUUCGGUGAAUAGCCAGUUCCAAUGGCAUAGCAAAUGCACAUUGUAUGUGUAUGGCCAGUAAUAGUGAAAUUUGCAGCCAUAUUGCAGCAAUCUUAUUUGCAGCUGAGUAUGCCCACAGCAAGACAGAAGAAGAAGAACCCAAUGCAUGUACAGAUGUUACAGCUAUGUACAUUCUCUGGUGAAAAACUAAUGAGUUUUCAAGCUGUUCGGUCAGAGUGCUUGUUGCGCUCUCUAAACGAACUGAAAUUAUAAGACGGCUUUGGCUUCAUGUUGCAGUGAUAUGAAAAUGGUUAGUCAUUUUUAAUUAUAAUGUACUUCUUCAUCAUGAGUAUUUAUGUAUAGGGCUUUUCAUUCACAGUCAUUUGUUUCGAGCUUCUGUCAUGUGUCACAUAAUAUUAAUAUUAUAUCUACGUCAUACGUUAUUGGUAUAUAUCAAUGAUACACACCAAAGACAUAUGGCAUAGAUAUAUUAAUAUUAUGUGACACAUGACAGAUGCUCGAAACAAAUGACAGUCUAUAAAAAGCCCUAUUAGUCUUUUAAGUGUGUAUUAUCAGAUAUCACAUAUAAAUUGUUUUUAUCAUGUUAAUUUGGUCAUUACAGUCCCUUAAUCAAAAAAUAUAUUUUUCAGGUGUCUGUGGAUCUUUUUGUAUGCAAAAAUUUGUAAUAAUUAUUUGAAAUCAUUUUGAGGAUUAUUAGAGUAUGGAAAUAUAUGCUAGAACACAUACUAUUAUAGUUUUGUCCUAUUUUUUAUCAUUCAAUAGUCAUCUUAAAAUUUAUAAAUAUAAAGCAGAUAGUUUUCAUUGAAAUUCAAUAUAUUGGGUCUUAUUUGUAUGUAUUCAUUUUUGACUAAAGGUAUGAUUCCGAUAACGACUGCAGACAGCAACUGCAAACAUCAGUUGCAGUUCUCGGCGUUAUGGACGUUACUACUUUGCACUAUUUAUCUGUAUGAGACUUAUUCCGACAUCUGACUGCAACUGCUGUCUGGCAGAACGUCAGUUGCUAAUAAUUAUGCAAAUUAUUAGUGCAAAAUAAUGACGUCUGUCAUGGUGACAACUGUAACUGCCAUCUGCAGUCGUUGUCGGAAUCGUACCUUUAAAGUGUGUGGUAUAAUUAUAAUAAUUAUAUAUAUUAUAUAACUUAAAUGGUUUAAACUUAAGUUUGUUAUUACAUUGUGACUUAAAUGUUUAAUUUGUUAAUAAAUGAUUUAUUAGUUUA